Molecule: ribosomal RNA, 433 nt
Filed under: uncultured bacterium
Lineage: Bacteria
Description: partial 16S ribosomal RNA
Rfam family: Bacterial small subunit ribosomal RNA
Source: RNAcentral
AACGAACGCUGGCGGCAUGCCUAACACAUGCAAGUCGAACGAGACCUUCGGGUCUAGUGGCGCACGUGUGCGUAACGCGUGGGAACCUGCCCUUAGGUUCGGAAUAACUCCCCGAAAGGGGUGCUAAUACCGGAUAAUGUCUUCGGACCAAAGAUUUAUCGCCUUUGGAUGGGCCCGCGUUGGAUUAGCUAGUUGGUAGGGUAAAAGCCUACCAAGGCGACGAUCCAUAGCUGGUCUGAGAGGAUGAUCAGCCACACUGGGACUGAGACACGGCCCAGACUCCUACGGGAGGCAGCAGUGGGGAAUAUUGGACAAGGGGCGAAAGCCUGAUCCAGCAAUGCCGCGUGAGUGAUGAAGGCCUUAGGGUUGUAAAGCUCUUUUACCCGGGAUGAUAAUGACAGUACCGGGAGAAUAAGCGCCGGCUAACUCCGUG